RNAcentral lists this ribosomal RNA (468 nucleotides) under uncultured bacterium. RNAcentral's name for it is "partial 16S ribosomal RNA". It matches the Rfam family "Bacterial small subunit ribosomal RNA", at positions 28 to 507 of the family's 1533-position model. The record is from RNAcentral.
GACGAACGCUGGCGGCGUGCUUAACACAUGCAGGUCGAACGGAAAGGCCCUGCUUUUGUGGGGUGCUCGAGUGGCGAACGGGUGAGUAACACGUGAGUAACCUGCCCUUGACUUUGGGAUAACUUCAGGAAACUGGGGCUAAUACCGGAUAGGAGCUCCUGCUGCAUGGUGGGGGUUGGAAAGUUUCGGCGGUUGGGGAUGGACUCGCGGCUUAUCAGCUUGUUGGUGGGGUAGUGGCUUACCAAGGCUUUGACGGGUAGCCGGCCUGAGAGGGUGACCGGCCAAAUUGGGACCGAGAUACGGCCCAGACUCCUACGGGAGGCAGCAGUGGGGAAUAUUGCAACAUGGGCGGAAGCCUGAUGCAGCAACGCCGCGUGCGGGAUGACGGCCUUCGGGUUGUAAACCGCUUUCGCCUGUGACGAAGCGUGAGUGACGGUAAUGGGUAAAGAAGCACCGGCUAACUACGUG